AUUGAACGCUGGCGGCAGGCCUAACACAUGCAAGUCGAACGAGUGGCGGAAGGGUGAGUAAUGGGUUGGAAACUGCCUGGUGAAGGGGGAUAUAUACUGGGAACGGUAGCUAAUACCGCAUACCAUCAGAGGUGCCAAGAUGGGAUUAGCGUGGUGGUGGGGUAACGGCUUACCAAGGCGACGAUCACUAGCUGGUCUGAGAGGCUGACCAGCCACACUGGGACGGAGACACGGCCCAGACUCCUACGGGAGGCAGCAGUGGGGAAUAUUCCACAAUGGGCGCAAGUCUGAUGCAGCAACGCCGCGUGUGUGAAGAAGGCUUUCGGGUCGUAAAGUUCUUUUAGCGGGGAGGCGGUACUCGAAGAAGAAGUCACGGCUAACUCCGUGCCAGCCGCCGCGGUAAUAC
RNAcentral lists this ribosomal RNA (406 nucleotides) under uncultured bacterium. RNAcentral's name for it is "partial 16S ribosomal RNA". It matches the Rfam family "Bacterial small subunit ribosomal RNA", at positions 30 to 526 of the family's 1533-position model. The record is from RNAcentral.